CCUACGGGUGGCAGCAGUGAGGAAUAUUGGUCAAUGGACGCAAGUCUGAACCAGCCAUGCCGCGUGCAGGAAGACGGUUCUAUGAGUUGUAAACUGCUUUUGUACGAGGGUAAACGCAGAUACGCGUAUCUGUCUGCAAGUACCGUACGAAUAAGGAUCGGCUAAAUCCGUGCCAGCAGCCGCGGUAAUACGGAGGAUUCGAGCGUUAUCCGGAUUUAUUGGGUUUAAAGGGUGCGUAGGCGGUCUGAUAAGUUAGCGGUGAAAUCCCGGGGCUCAACUUCGGACGUGCAUUUGAUACUGGUCGGCUAGAGAGUAGUUGCGGUAGGCGGAAUGUAUGGUGUAGCGGUGAAAUGCUUAGAGAUCAUACAGAACACCGAUUGCGAAGGCAGCUUACCGGGCUACAUCUGACGUUGAGGCACGAAAGCGUGGGGAGCAAACAGGAUUAGAUACCCCAGUAGUC
RNAcentral lists this ribosomal RNA (460 nucleotides) under uncultured bacterium. RNAcentral describes it as "partial 16S ribosomal RNA". It matches the Rfam family "Bacterial small subunit ribosomal RNA", at positions 338 to 795 of the family's 1533-position model. The record is from RNAcentral.